UAGACACCGGCUAUAAAACAUAACACAUUGCAUGCAUCUCCAGAUCUGCUUCCAGAUUUAAUAACUUGAAAUCAUUCUGCCAUGGCUCUCUGCAGUGAGAAUUCCCUGAUGAUUUUCCCUGGGCCUUUUGGAUAAAAGCUCUGAAAUUGGCAAGAAAUAUUUUUCUCAACACUCUCCAGUUCCUUCUAGACUUUACUUGCAAAAGCUGUUGUUCUGCACAGAAAUGGUGACCCCGACGUGAUACUCUGAACAGUGUACCACUGAGGUCGGGGAAAAGCCUGGAGCGGCCCAGCCGGAGGCGGAUCAGCUGGACUGAAGACCGGGCGGAGGCGUACGGACGUUCUGCAUUUUUUUGAAGAAGUCACCGUAAAGGGUGAGCAGCUGGGAGCGGGAGGAGGGAAGAGUGAAGUUAUGGGGCAAAAUAUAUCCUCGAGGAAGAAGCUAUAGUUAAACUCCUCCUGCCUAUUCUCGCUAUGAGAGUGCUUAAAUAGGAAGAAAGUAACAUAUGUAGACUAUUAAUUCGGUAUAGAAUUAAUGGCUACCCGAGAGAAAACGAGAAGGCUUUUAAACGUUAACUUUGGGACGAUAAAGGGCAGAAAUUAUGGAAUAAGGUCAGCAAUGGAGAUGAUAAAGAAACUAAAUCACUAGCGACUACUUGGAAGCUUAUAUUGUCCACUCAAGGCCUCUUAGAGAAGCUGAGAACAGAAUCUGCUGUGAGAGAGAGGGGCGUUCCUCAAUCACCGGGGUCCUGGCGUGGCGUGAAUCAUCGGACGUAUCAUCAGUGAGACUCCAGCGCAUGGACAGCCCACGAUACUCAUUUAGUGAAUCCAUGCUUGGAGCGUGGACGCGUGAUUAGAAUAUAGUUACGUAUAUAAGGAGACUUGUUUCUGUAAUAAAUGGCUUUAGCGUGAUUCACAUUGAA
This is a long non-coding RNA of Columba livia (rock pigeon), 922 nucleotides long. RefSeq lists it as uncharacterized. The transcript has 3 exons. The record is from RefSeq and is a predicted model, not a curated record. NCBI's taxonomy places the organism in Eukaryota, Metazoa, Chordata, Aves, Columbiformes, Columbidae.